AUGAUCCAAGAACUCCUCGGAGGCACGGCCAUGGAGCAGCAGCAGCUCAAGUGCGCCGGGAACGCUGCGAACCACCACGGCUCGCUCCCCAUGGCGCUGCAGCCCAUCUCCUCCAACCCGUCCCCCACGUCCUCCUCCACCUCGUCGCGCUCCUCCACGCAGCGGUCGCCCUCGGCCGCGUCGUCGCCGCAGGGGCAGGGGCAGCAAGGGCAGCAGGGCCCGCCGGGGCCGGAGCAGGCGCCGCUGCGCUGCCCCCGGUGCAACUCCUCCAACACCAAGUUCUGCUACUACAACAACUACAACCUCACCCAGCCGCGCCACUUCUGCAAGACGUGCCGCCGCUACUGGACCAAGGGCGGCGCGCUCCGCAACGUCCCCAUCGGCGGCGGCUGCCGCAAGCCGCGCCCCAUGCCGGCGCCCGUCGCCAAGGCGCAGCCCUCCUCCUGCAAGUCCGUGCUCGGCAUGGGCGUCGGCACCGCGCCGUCCCUCGGCCUCGGCAUGGGCGUGGGCGGCGGCAUGUCCUGGGCCUCCUCGCCGCAGACCGCCACCGCGCAGCUCAUGGCGCUGCUCAACAGCGCCAGGGCCGGCUACGCCGGCAGCAACAUGCACCGGCUUCUCGGGCUGGACACCAUGGGGCAGCUCCAGGUCCUGCCGGGGUCGGCGAACGGCGGGCCGGGCAUGUCGCCGUCGCUGUGGCCGCAGGCCACGCACCGGCCGACCAUGCCUCCGCCACCAAUGCACCUCGACUCGCACCUCGGCAUGGGCUCGCUGGGGCUGGGCCAGGGCCAGGGCCACCACAACCUGCUGUCAGCGCUGGAGCUCAAGCCGCCCUCGUCUUCGCCGUCGCCGUCUUCACUCGCGGCGAGCUACUACAGCGACCAGCUGAACGCGGUGGUGAGCAACGGCGGCGCCGGGCGCCCCCACCCGUACGACACCCCGGCGUCGUCCUACCCUUGCAGCACGGCGAUGUGCUCCCUCCCGCCGUCCGCGUCGACCGUCUCGGCGGCGCAGAGCAGCCGCACCGUGGGGAUGGACCAGCAGCCACCCACCAUGUCGCUCGGCACGCAGGAGAUGCAGUACUGGAGCGGCGGCCCGGCGUCGAUGAUGGCAUGGCCGGACUUGCCCACCCUCAACGGCGCCUUCCCAUGA
RNAcentral lists this ribosomal RNA (1149 nucleotides) under Triticum aestivum (bread wheat). Its description in RNAcentral is "partial small subunit ribosomal RNA". The record is from RNAcentral. Lineage: Eukaryota; Viridiplantae; Streptophyta; Magnoliopsida; Poales; Poaceae.